CGGGUGGACACUUCAAACUCUUGCGUAACUUUGCAGUCUGAGUAAACUUAAUUAAUAAAUUAAAACUUUUAACAACGGAUCUCUUGGUUCUGGCAUCGAUGAAGAACGCAGCGAAAUGCGAUAAGUAAUGUGAAUUGCAGAAUUCAGUGAAUCAUCGA
RNAcentral lists this ribosomal RNA (158 nucleotides) under Cladosporium tenuissimum. RNAcentral describes it as "5.8S ribosomal RNA". The stretch from base 64 to 158 matches the Rfam family "5.8S ribosomal RNA", at positions 1 to 95 of the family's 154-position model. Rfam says of the family: 5.8S ribosomal RNA (5.8S rRNA) is a component of the large subunit of the eukaryotic ribosome. It is transcribed by RNA polymerase I as part of the 45S precursor that also contains 18S and 28S rRNA. Functionally, it is thought that 5.8S rRNA may be involved in ribosome translocation. Lineage: Eukaryota; Fungi; Ascomycota; Dothideomycetes; Cladosporiales; Cladosporiaceae. RNAcentral also lists the same sequence under 1 other name. The record is from RNAcentral.